Molecule: long non-coding RNA, 340 nt
Filed under: Arachis ipaensis
Lineage: Eukaryota; Viridiplantae; Streptophyta; Magnoliopsida; Fabales; Fabaceae
Description: long non-coding RNA (AIPA_LNC001796)
Source: RNAcentral
CCUCCACUUCCAAUUAUUUUCUUCAUGCACUGUAGCUCCAGGAGCGGCCAAUGCUAUUCCGAAGUUUAAACUAUUAAUUGCUCUCAAUUUUCAAUUAAUUAUUAUCAUUCUCUCGUAGAUACAGGUUACGUAACCAUUUUGCCAUUUCUAAUUGGAAAAUUUGAUAAAUAUUUGGAUGAAUACUCUUGUUUAAAGAGAAAAAGGACAUCAAUAAGUGAAUAUUAAUGUAACUCAUCAUUUAAACAUAUUCUGCACCAUGAAAUAAUCAAAGACAUGACACACUGAACGCCAUUUUCACACCAGCUCUUUCUUUUUUUUUCCUUAUUUUCUUUUUCUCUUU